AUAUCUAAUCUGCAGCAUCUCUGAUUCUUUAUACAAGUUGCCCUCAUAUUUUCUAGGGUUUAUAAGAUUUUAGAAUCUCUUCCUUCCUACUGAGAUUCGCUCUCUCUUCUUCUCUUUGCGGUGAAAAGGCGAAAUUUUUCGAUCAUUGAUACAUAAACUAGGAGUUACUCUGGAGAGCACUGCCAUCAUCAAUCAAGAAUCUUGUUCAUCAUCAGUAGCACUAUCAGCUAAGUAUUUUAGGUUUACAACAAAAAAUCAAUUUGUUCUAAACGAGUCUAGGGUUACUUUGAUUUGCUAUUCCUUCUCUACUAGUAAUCUUACUUUUUCUGAUUCUGAUUCUGAUACUGAUUCUAAUUUAUCUAAUCCAUUUGUAGUUUCUUAUCUGAUUAAUUCAUGUGGAUUGUCUGAAAAUGAAGCAAUUACUGCUUCUGAAAAACUCAAUUUCAAAACCACAACUAAACCCGAUUCAGUACUAACCCUACUAAAAGCAUACGGAAUUACUCAACCCCACAUUUCUAAACUAAUCACAAAUCACCCAUCCGUCCUCUCUGCUAAUCCACAUGAAACCCUUAAAUCCAAACUAGAUUUCUUCAAAUCAAGAAGAAUUUUUGAAAAUGACCUAGCCUACUUCAUCUCAAGGUUCCCAGGAUUCCUGAUACAGAGUUUAAAUGAAAGUACAGUCCCUGUAUUUGAUAUCCUCAAGAGCCUUGUUCAUACUGACGAAAACGUGAAUAAAUUGAUUAGACGAGUUAAUUGGGUCCUAAAUUUGAACUUACUUAGAAGAGUUAUGGUCAAUUUAGAGCUUUUGAACUUACCUAAAUUUGAACUUACUUAAAAAAAUGGAUGUUUACAAGAGAUGGGGUUGGUCUGGGGAUCAAAUUCAAUCUGCAUUUAGGAAGAAUCCUCGUUGUAUGACGGUGUCUGAGGAGAAGAUAAUGGCGGUUAUGAGUUUCCUUGUGAACGAAAUUGGUUAUGAUUCAUCAAGUCCUGCUGAAUGCCCAUUAAUUUUUUAUUGUAGUUUGAAGGAUAGGAUCAUUCCUAGGUGCUCUGUUAUCAAGAUUUUAGUCUCCAAGGGACUGAUUAAGGAAAUGAUUCCAUUAUGUUCAAUUUCAACAAUCGUAGACAAGGCAUUUCUGGAGAGGUUUGUCCAGAUGUACGGGCAAGAAGUUCCUGAACUGAUGAAGGUAUUCCAAGGUCAUCGUAAUUACCAAGAUCUACUGCAGAAUUGAAGGAUUUGAUGAGACGAAUACACGGCUCUAGUGUAGGGAAGUACACCUUGUACAGGGUAAGAAACAAGAAAUGUCUAGUCCAGAAGCUUUUGGUCUGCUUACGGCAAUACAGUGGACUCAUGAGCUGGGUGCUAAGAAGGUACACCUUGUAUAGAGAUUCGUUGGUGCAUUGACAUUUUUUAUAUUUGCUCACGUGGAAGUAUGUAAAUUACUGUCUGUCUAUAUUAUUUUCUCGUGUAUGUUAGAAUUUUCAGACCUGCAAAAUUUAUAAAGAGGUUCCUGUAA
Molecule: long non-coding RNA, 1514 nt
Organism: Papaver somniferum (opium poppy)
Lineage: Eukaryota; Viridiplantae; Streptophyta; Magnoliopsida; Ranunculales; Papaveraceae
Exons: 2
Source: RefSeq, a predicted model, not a curated record